This is a non-coding RNA of Nomascus leucogenys (northern white-cheeked gibbon), 188 nucleotides long. The record is from Rfam. Lineage: Eukaryota; Metazoa; Chordata; Mammalia; Primates; Hylobatidae.
AUAGCUUCUCAGCCUUCUGGCUAAAAUCAAGUAUAGUUAUGUUUUUAUCAGUUUAAUAUCUGGAAUGUCUUCUAUCCAAAGACAUUUUUUUUUUUUUUUGAGAUGGAUUUUCACUUUUGUUGCCCAGGCUAGAGUGCAAUGGCAUGAUCUCCGUUCACCACAACCUCCGCCUCCCGAGUUCAAACAAU